Molecule: ribosomal RNA, 487 nt
Filed under: uncultured bacterium
Lineage: Bacteria
Description: partial 16S ribosomal RNA
Rfam family: Bacterial small subunit ribosomal RNA
Source: RNAcentral
AUUGAACGCUGGCGGCAUGCUUUACACAUGCAAGUCGAACGGCAGCACAGGGAGCUUGCUCCUGGGUGGCGAGUGGCGAACGGGUGAGUAAUGUAUCGGAACGUGCCUGGUAGUGGGGGAUAACUACUCGAAAGAGUGGCUAAUACCGCAUGAGAUCUUUGGAUGAAAGCGGGGGACCUUCGGGCCUCGUGCUACUGGAGCGGCCGAUAUCAGAUUAGGUUGUUGGUGGGGUAAAGGCCUACCAAGCCUGCGAUCUGUAGCUGGUCUGAGAGGACGACCAGCCACACUGGGACUGAGACACGGCCCAGACUCCUACGGGAGGCAGCAGUGGGGAAUUUUGGACAAUGGGCGCAAGCCUGAUCCAGCAAUGCCGCGUGCAGGACGAAGGCCUUCGGGUUGUAAACUGCUUUUGUACAGAACGAAAAGUCUCUGGCUAAUAGCUAGAGAUCAUGACGGUACUGUAAGAAUAAGCACCGGCUAACUACGU